AGUUUGAUCCUCUGGCUCCAGAUUGAACGCUGGCGGAUGCUUUACACAUGCAAGUCGAACGACAGCAUAGACUUCGGUCUGGUGGCGAGUGGCGAACGGGUGAGUAAUGCACGGAACGUGCCUAGCAAAGGGGAUGUAACUACGCGAAAGCGGUAGCUAAUACCGCAUACCGCCCUUCGGGGAAAGCGGGGACCUUCGGGCCUUCGCACUAUUAGAGCGGCUUGAUAUCGAUUAGCUUAGCUAGGGCAACGGCUCACCGCGACGAUCCGUAGCUGGUUUGAGAGGACGACCCCAGCCACACUGGGAUCGAGACACGGCCCAGACUCCUACGGAGGCAGCAGUGGGGAAUUUUGGACAAUGGGGAAACCUGAUCCGCUUACCCCGUGCGAUGAAGGCCUCGGUUGUGAAACACCCUUGCAGAAAGAAACGGCACGGAUAAUACCCUGUGCAACUGACGGUACCUGCAGAAUACACCGGCUAAUCCACGUGCCAGCACAGCGGUAAUACGUAGGGUGCGCGUUAAUCGGAAAUUACUGGGCGUAAAAGCGUGCGAUAGGUUCGGAAAAGAAAGAUGAAAUCCCAGAGCUUAACUUUGGAACUGCAUUUUUAACUACCGAGCUAGAGGGUGUCGAGGGAGGUGAAUUCCCAAGUGUAGCAGUGAAAUGCAGAUAUGCGGAGGAACACCGAUGGCGAAGGCAGCCUCCGAUAACACUGACGCUCUGCACGAAAGCGUGGGGGAGCAAACAGGAUUAGAUACCCCGUAGUCCACGCCCUAAACGAGAUGUCAACUAGCUGUUGGGGCCUUCGGGCCUGUAGCGCAGCUAACGCGUGAAGUUGACCGCCUGGGGAGUACGGUCGCAAGAUUAAAAACUCAAAGGAAUUGACGGGACCUGCACAAGCGGUGGAUGAUGUGAUUAAUUCGAUGCAACGCGAAAACUCUUACCUACCCUGACAUGUCGAAUCCCCGAAGAGAUUUGGGAGUGCUCGCAAGAGAACCGGAACACAGGUGCCGCAUGGCUGUCGUCAGCUCGUGUCGUGAGAUGUUGGGUUAAGUCCUGCAAACGAGCGCAACCCCUUGUCAUUAGUUGCUACGAAAGGGGCACUUAUCGAGACUGCCGGUGAGCAACCGGAGGAAGGUGGGGAUGACGUCAAGUCCUCGCGGCUCUUUAUGGGUAGGAGCCACACGUCAUACAAUGGUCGGGACAGAGGGUCGCCAACCCUGCGAUGGAGCCAAUCCCAGAACCCGAUCGUAGUCCGGAUCGUAGUCUGCAACUCGACUGCGUGAAGUCGGAAUCGCUAGUAAUCGCGGAUCGCAGUGUCGCGGUGAAUACGUUCCCGGGUCUUGGUACACACCGCCCGUCACACCAUGGGAGUGGGCUUUACCAGAAGUAGUUAGCUUCAACUGCAGGAGUAUGACACACGGUAGGAUUCAUGAUCGGGGUGAAGUCGUAACAAGGCAG
Molecule: ribosomal RNA, 1460 nt
Filed under: uncultured Bordetella sp.
Lineage: Bacteria; Pseudomonadati; Pseudomonadota; Betaproteobacteria; Burkholderiales; Alcaligenaceae
Description: partial 16S-23S ribosomal RNA intergenic spacer
Rfam family: Bacterial small subunit ribosomal RNA
Source: RNAcentral